Callithrix jacchus (white-tufted-ear marmoset) is the source of this 872-nucleotide long non-coding RNA. RefSeq lists it as uncharacterized. NCBI's taxonomy places the organism in Eukaryota, Metazoa, Chordata, Mammalia, Primates, Cebidae. The record is from RefSeq and is a predicted model, not a curated record.
AGUCUGGGGGCACCAUGCCAUAAACAUUGAUCCUGUCACAGAGCUCCAGUGCAAUUGUCAUUGUGAACCAGCCAGUGCUGAGCCAAGUGUUGGAUAUCUUCCUGGAAGGAACAAUAAUUAAGUCUGCAAGCUGCAGGCAUAGGAAUCUCUGUCCCCUGGGCUACUUGAGAGCUAAAUGGCAAGCAUGCACGGAAAGCACCAAGCUUGUGUUUUUUAGCAUCCCUGAAGAAAAUUCUUCGAACACUCUGCUACCGAUGACUGUAUAGGGGCCACCAUCCGUAGUCGGGGCAGGAAUUAUGACAUUCAGAAGCCUUCAGCCUACAUAGGUAUUAACACUUUUCCUUCUUUCUCACCAAGGCUAUGUAUUCUUAAGACCUUUGAGACUGAAAGAGCUGGGAUGAAGAAGAGCUGACUGAAUGGCAAAGGGUAAGAAGAGGAAGUGGCUUCCCUUAAGUUAGAGGCUGUUUUCACCUAUGGGCCAUGACAAUGCAUUGGCCAUGUGUUCUAGACCUAACCUGGAUGAGUGAAUAACUGGGAGGAUGUGGAACCCAGGAAAAGGAUGACAACUCACUUACACCUUCAGGAGACUGAUCUGGGAAUCACAAUUAUAUUCCCUCUGCUUUUAAGAGAGUGGGCACACCAAAGAGGGCUUUUUCCAGGGGCAGAAACUCUCCCAUCACUCUGGUUCUGUUUUGUGUGAUACAGUAGAGAUCACAAGCCACAGCCUGAAUACAGGAGGCUAUGACCGCACAGGAAAAGGCUUUGUGGAUAAAAUGGGGAGAAUGCAAAGUGGAGGACCGAUGAAACUAAAGUGAAGAGUUCUUUAAAGUGCCACUUAAAAUUCCCCAGACUUCUAAAUAACAGCCUUUUGG